CUUCAUUUUUUUUUUAUUCUGUAUACUCAGCUACCAAAUCAGGUUAGAGGCAGCAACCAAAACCACACCAGUUUAUUAAAAUCUAGAGUUCAUAUUCGUGUCCCAUCUGGAAGAUCCCCCAAGUAAUUUUGAACUGUAAAACUUCAUAUAUGGUGCUUAAAAUCUUCUUCUUCAGCUGCACCUCAUGAUGGUGGUGGUUGUUGCUGUAUUUCCCAUGCUCUGAAAACAUGAACAAAAAGUGCAGAUGGUCCAGUCCUGGGCUCUGUUUACCUUGAGAAGCUGAUUAUUUUGGUGGAGGAUGUUACACAAUAUUUUUAAAUGGGAAGGUUUUGUUUAUGUUUCUUUUCUUCUGCUGCAGUGAUGCAGUUGAUUGUUCCAGUCUCAGGACAGACUGUAGUCACAGCUGAUCUUGCCGCCCCCAUCUUACACAACUAGUGCCCCUCUGAGCAACAAACAAUCUUCUUCUGAGCUCCUGUCAAGGCUGGCUCCACCAUUCACACCUCUCUGCUACAAAAGUGCUUGCUACAGUUCAAUAGUGGAGAGAAGAAACAGCUGGUCUGUGCAUUUGUGGGAGAGCAGCAUUUAAUAAGCAGUGACAAGUGGCAGAAGGAAGAUCAAUCAUCACUUUCCACACUGCUCUCCAGGAUUUGAAGUGGUUUUAUGCAGGACCUGGAGGAAAUGGAAUAUGCUUGGAAAGGUGAUUCUAACAGCUAACAACUGUAAGGAUUUUCCCCAAACGGAGGAACUUUUUGUGGACCCUUGAGCUUGUGGGUAUCCAGUUUUUCUAUACAAUCACUAACCCAAUCCUCCUUGACAGAAGGCAGCUCUUCUUUUCUCUAGACUUUCUCUCUUGCCUCUAGGGUUUGGGAUUCCUGAGGGCUGACCUUAGCAGUAAAGACUGAAGGAAAGGAACCAUUCAGUAACUCCAUCUUCUCUUAUGUCUUGUCAGCUGAGCACCAGUGGGUCAGUUCUCCACAGUGUUGUCCAAAUCAAUGCCAGGCUUAACCUGUGCCAAAGGACAAAAAGAACCUAAUAGGGAAUGAAAAUAUUUUUAUUUUUUUUCCCAAUAGAAGUGUGAGGAGGGUGGUGGGAAUCUUGUGAAUAAAAGGUUCUGGGGAAUUAUUUAAUGUCAUGCUUAUAGAUCGAGGGCUUUAAUAAAAUAAAAAGAUCAGAGAAGACUAUGUGCACCUUGAUGAUGAAUGAAUAUGCCUGCUUAGUACUUCAGGGAUGGAUUAAGCUGUUGAAAAAGCAUUCAACAUUGGCUAAAGGACUGUAAUA
Cyanistes caeruleus (blue tit) is the source of this 1278-nucleotide non-coding RNA. Lineage: Eukaryota; Metazoa; Chordata; Aves; Passeriformes; Paridae. The record is from RefSeq and is a predicted model, not a curated record.